RNAcentral lists this ribosomal RNA (308 nucleotides) under uncultured bacterium. RNAcentral describes it as "partial 16S ribosomal RNA". It matches the Rfam family "Bacterial small subunit ribosomal RNA", at positions 505 to 808 of the family's 1533-position model. The record is from RNAcentral.
GAGACAGCAGCCGCCGCGGUAAUACGUAGGUCCCGAGCGUUGUCCGGAUUUACUGGGCGUAAGGCGAGCGCAGGCGGUUAGAUAAGUCUGAAGUUAAAGGCCGUGGCUUAACCAUAGUACGCUUUGGAAACUGUUUAACUUGAGUGCAAGAGGGGAGAGUGGAAUCCCAUGUGUAGCGGUGAAAUGCGUAGAUAUAUGGAGGAACACCAGUGGCGAAGGCGACUCUCUGGUCUGUAACUGACGCUGAGGAGCGAAAGCGUGGGGAGCGAACAGGAUUAGAUACCCCCGUAGUCCCUGUCUCUUAUACA